Molecule: non-coding RNA, 50 nt
Organism: Trichobilharzia regenti
Lineage: Eukaryota; Metazoa; Platyhelminthes; Trematoda; Strigeidida; Schistosomatidae
Source: Rfam
GUACUGAUGAAGAGUCCCAAACUAGGACGAAACAACUGGCUGUCCAGUAC